AUUGAACGCUGGCGGCAGGCCUAACACAUGCAAGUCGAGCGGUAGAGAGAAGCUUGCUUCUCUUGAGAGCGGCGGACGGGUGAGUAAUGCCUAGGAAUCUGCCUGGUAGUGGGGAUAACGUUCGGAAACGAACGCUAAUACCGCAUACGUCCUACGGGAGAAAGCAGGGACCUUCGGGCCUUGCGCUAUCAGAUGAGCCUAGGUCGGAUUAGCUAGUUGGUGAGGUAAUGGCUCACCAAGGCGACGAUCCGUAACUGGUCUGAGAGGAUGAUCAGUCACACUGGAACUGAGACACGGUCCAGACUCCUACGGGAGGCAGCAGUGGGGAAUAUUGGACAAUGGGCG
RNAcentral lists this ribosomal RNA (345 nucleotides) under uncultured bacterium. RNAcentral describes it as "bacterial SSU rRNA". It matches the Rfam family "Bacterial small subunit ribosomal RNA", at positions 30 to 377 of the family's 1533-position model. The record is from RNAcentral.